GACAGAGGGCCCGAGCGUUAGGCGGAAUCACUGGGCUUAAAGCGUGUGUAGGCGGACUUCUAAGUACCUUGUGAAAUCCCACGGCUCACCCGUGGAACCGCUGGGUAUACUGGGGGUCUUGGGCCAUUCAGGGGCGACUGGAACAAGCGGUGGAGCGGUGAAAUGCGUAGAUAUCGCUUGGAACGCCGACGGUGAAAACAGGUCGCUGGGAAUGUGCCGACGCUGAGACACGAAAGCCAGGGGAGCAAACGGG
This 253-nucleotide ribosomal RNA is filed under the name uncultured bacterium. RNAcentral describes it as "partial 16S ribosomal RNA". It matches the Rfam family "Bacterial small subunit ribosomal RNA", at positions 524 to 776 of the family's 1533-position model. The record is from RNAcentral.